RNAcentral lists this ribosomal RNA (254 nucleotides) under uncultured bacterium. Its description in RNAcentral is "partial 16S ribosomal RNA". It matches the Rfam family "Bacterial small subunit ribosomal RNA", at positions 524 to 776 of the family's 1533-position model. The record is from RNAcentral.
UACGUAGGGCGCAAGCGUUAUCCGGAAUUAUUGGGCGUAAAGGGCUCGUAGGCGGUCCAUCGCGUCGGGAGUGAAAAGCUGGGGCUUAACCCCAGUCCUGCUUCCGAUACGGGUGGACUAGAGGUAGGCAGGGGAGAACGGAAUUCCUGGUGUAGCGGUGAAAUGCGCAGAUAUCAGGAGGAACACCGGUGGCGAAGGCGGCAUCCUGGACCGGCAUUGACGCUGAGUGAGCGAAAGCCAGGGGAGCAAACGGG